RNAcentral lists this unclassified non-coding RNA (337 nucleotides) under soil metagenome. RNAcentral's name for it is "partial contains 5.8S ribosomal RNA, internal transcribed spacer 2, and large subunit ribosomal RNA". The stretch from base 1 to 120 matches the Rfam family "5.8S ribosomal RNA", at positions 35 to 154 of the family's 154-position model. The record is from RNAcentral.
GAUGAAGAACGUAGCGAAAUGCGAUAAGUAGUGUGAAUUGCAGAAUUCAGUGAAUCUUCGAAUCUUUGAACGCACAUUGCGCCCCUUGGUAUUCCAUGCGGCAUGCCUGUUCGAGCGUCAUCUACACCCUCAAGCUCUGCUUGGUGUUGGGCGUCUGUCCCGCCUUUGCGCGUGGACUCGCCCCAAAUUCAUUGGCAGCGGUCCUUGCCUCCUCUCGCGCAGCACAUUUGCGCUUCUCGAGGUGCGCGGGCCGCGUCCACGAAGCAACUAUUACCGUCUUUGACCUCGGAUCAGGUAGGGAUACCCGCUGAACUUAAGCAUAUCAAUAAGCGGAGGA